CAGAUAUCAUAAAAUCGUGAAACACAAGCUCAUCCUAGAAUACCAGUGCAGCAGCUACAACCACCUAAAAUCAAAUCAAACUGAUAAUUAAAGUUUGAAAAAAACAAAUAGAUCAAUGAAUGCAGAAAUUCUUACGAGUGUGCAUAUGCCAAAACGGAUUUGGAACACUGGAAUAGAACUCCUCGCUGGACAAACAGGAACUUCAAUGGAAAGCCAACCGGAUUCUGUCGGAAUUUAAAUGAGACAAUAAUGAAACGAACCAGGUGGCUAGAACCUCGGUCGAACCUAAAUUGCAACUACUGUCCCUUUCUCGUUUCUAUGCGUGUGCAUGUAUGGCUGCUGGUUCGUUUUCCGGCGAACUCACGGGGCAACGUCGAGGUGGUCGCUGGUUAAGGGUGUGGUGGCGACGAAAUUUCUAGGGUUCAGCUCCUAAGUUCAGUGGGUGGUCGUUGAAUAAGGGACGAAGAAGGAGUCGAUGGGGUCAUAGAAAGUCAGUGAUGGCUUCGAGACGCGAUGAAGAAACAAGCCACUGGAAAUAUAUUUGGUCUCUUUGUUCGCUGCUUAGGUCCUUUUGAUGAAGAAGAUGACUAAAGCCAUUUUUGUUUUCUCUCCAGUCAAAAAACGGCAGAUCGUAU
This 635-nucleotide long non-coding RNA is filed under the name Nicotiana tabacum (common tobacco). RNAcentral's name for it is "long non-coding RNA (NTAB_LNC010896)". The record is from RNAcentral. Lineage: Eukaryota; Viridiplantae; Streptophyta; Magnoliopsida; Solanales; Solanaceae.